UUUUGAACACGAAGAAUUGGGCAUCGCUGUCAUUCAUACAUACAUAUGGUAUAUGUAUGACACAUUGAUGCGGGGAACUGAAUUGUGUAACCGAUUCAAUUUUAUUGCUGCUUCCCGUAUCAACACAACGUUUAUAACGAAAAAUCCAACAUCCGUAAUGAAUGAACUAGUCGAUAGAUUCAUGGUGGCCGAUAAUACUACACCCAGUUUGUAUUUUUUACCGUUUAAUUCUGGCAACGGUGGUCACUGGGUGUUGGUUGCUAUGGAUCUUUCGAG
Molecule: long non-coding RNA, 276 nt
Organism: Lathyrus oleraceus (garden pea)
Lineage: Eukaryota; Viridiplantae; Streptophyta; Magnoliopsida; Fabales; Fabaceae
Exons: 3
Source: RefSeq, a predicted model, not a curated record